Molecule: RNA transcript, 1811 nt
Organism: Schistocerca piceifrons (Central American locust)
Lineage: Eukaryota; Metazoa; Arthropoda; Insecta; Orthoptera; Acrididae
Gene name: cytochrome P450 4C1-like
Exons: 13
Source: RefSeq, a predicted model, not a curated record
UCAGUCGGCGUGUAGAACGUUGGCGGGAUCUCGCUCCGACGGCCCUGGGGGAUGCUGGACAUAACGACACUGCUUCUGGCGGCUGUUGUGGUCGCAGUGUCUGCGAGCAUCAUCUCCAGGAAAUGGCGCUGGAGGCAGGUCGAAAAGCUUCCUGGCCUCGUAGCCCUGCCUUUUAUAGGGACUACGUACAUCGCAUUCCUUACGAAGCGAGAGGAUCGGAUGCGCAAAUUUGACGAGGUGAUCAAGAGGUUCGGUCCAAUCUUCCGGUCCUGGAUUGGACCGUACCCAUCGAUAAUGAUCCAAAAACCAGAAUACCUAGAGAAAAUAAUGUCCAGCAGCGAGUUAAUUGAGAAGUCCACCUUCUACUCAUUCCUGUACCCUUGGCUGGGAGAAGGUCUCCUCACCAGCUCAGGUUCCAAGUGGCAUAUGCAUCGUAAAAUGAUUACACCUGCUUUCCACUUCCGUAUAUUAGACAACUUCGUCGAAAUAUUUGCUGAAAAUGGGGAGGUCCUAGUAGAGAAACUGAAACCUAAAGCUAAUGGAAAGACGUUCGAUAUCUACCCAUUCAUUACACGCUGUGCCCUGGACAUCAUAUGUGAAACAGCAAUGGGAACUUCAGUCAACGCCCAGAAUGAGACACAAUCUGCUUACGUCAACGCCAUUUACAGUAUCAGCGAGCUCACCAUAAAAAGAAUGAUUAAACCAUGGUUGCACACUGAAUUCAUUUUUAAAAGGAGUUCAACAGGAAAAGAGUUCUACAAACAGCUGAAUAUCUUACACGGCUUUACAAAGAAGGUAAUACGCGAAAGGAAGUCAGCCCGUAAAACGAAUGUAGCCCAGAUCCAGGCACCACAGGAAGACGACAUAGGUAGGAAGCGACGUGUGGCUUUUCUGGACAUGUUGUUGGACGCUUCUGAGAACGGCCAGAAACUUAACGACCAGGAGCUGCAGGAGGAAGUGGACACCUUCAUGUUUGAGGGCCACGACACGACGUCGGUUGCCAUGUCAUGGGUUCUUAUGCUGCUGGGACAUCAUCCUGGUAUCCAAGAGAAAGUCUUCGCUGAGCUGGAUGACAUAUUUCGAGACGAUCCUAAGAGACGUCCAACUACUCAUGAUCUGAACAACAUGAAGUACCUCGAGAUGGUCAUCAAGGAAGCGCUGAGACUGUACCCGAGUGUGCCUGCCAUCGGCCGCCGAGCGACGAAAGACAUCGAAAUUGGUAGCUACAAAAUUCCUGAGGGCUGCCUGAUAACCCUCAACAUCCGGCACACUCACCGCGACCCCGACCACUGGCCGGACCCGGAGCGCUUCGACCCGGAAAACUUCCUGCCGGAGAGGGUGCAGGGCAGGCACCCCUUCGCCUACGUGCCCUUCAGCGCUGGGCCCCGAAACUGCAUAGGCCAGAAGUUCGCCAUCCUGGAGGAGAAGACGGUGCUGUCGUACGUGCUGCGCAACUUCCGCGUGGAGACGGUGGACAGGCUGGAGGACCUCCAGCUGAUCGGCGAGCUCGUCCUCAGGCCCAUGAACGGCGUCAACCUCAGGCUGCGGCCGCGGUAGCGCAGAGUCUGCGGCGGCGCUUCUUCCUGUCUCUUGCUCGGUCCGGCAACAGCGCAGCGCUUUGCGCCUCACUUAUUCAUCAAGUGACCUGAACAUUAUAAUAAGUGACAAUACAUAGCCAACACGCUGCCCGUGAAACUCACCGUACUCUACAAGACGUGCAAUAACUUGCAUGGCCAGCACAAUCUCCGCAGUUGUCUCCAAACGACCACAUGUGGGAUAUGACGAGACAAGAAGUGACUCAUGCGAUCCAU